GCUGGCCUUCUUAGUUUUAGUUCUGUUCCGACAGGAUUUGAGGCUGAGGCCUUAUCUUCUCACGCCAUUGGACUUUUUCUUAGCUUAUAGGAGGUUUGUUGUCUUCAGUUUGUCUUUGAGCUUUCUGAUUCUCUCUUGCUUGGCUUUCCGAGUUCGUGUUUUCAGGUCGGCACUUUUGGCCUCUUGUUGCCUUUGUCUUCUUAGCUCGGCUUCCCGCACUGGGAGAUCUUGGGGAUCCCAGUCUUGUUAUGCCAGGAGAUCUUGGGGAUCCUGAUGCUCUACCUCCCUGAGGUCUCGAUGUCUCAUUUCGGUUUAUGUUGGUGCCGGGAUAUCUUGGGGAUCCCGGUCUUCCACCUCCCUGAGGUCUCUAUGUCUCAGUUCGGUUGGUGUUGGUGCCGGGAGAUCUUGGGGAUCCCGGUCUUCUACCUUCCUGAGGUCUCUAAGUCUCAGUUCGGUUUAUGUUGGUGCCGGGAGAUCUUGGGGAUCCCGGUCUUCUACCUCCUUGAGGUCUCUAUGUCUCAGUUUGGUGUUGGUGCCGGGAGAUCUUGGGGAUCUCGGUCUUCCACCUCCCUGAGGUCUCUAUGUCUCAGUUUGGUGUUGGUGCUGGGAGAUCUUGGGGAUCCUGGUCUUCUACCUCCCUGAGGCCUUGGGCAUUUA
This 657-nucleotide long non-coding RNA is filed under the name Manihot esculenta (cassava). RNAcentral describes it as "long non-coding RNA (MESC_LNC006852)". The record is from RNAcentral. Lineage: Eukaryota; Viridiplantae; Streptophyta; Magnoliopsida; Malpighiales; Euphorbiaceae.